Varanus komodoensis (Komodo dragon) is the source of this 2844-nucleotide long non-coding RNA. RefSeq lists it as uncharacterized. The record is from RefSeq and is a predicted model, not a curated record. NCBI's taxonomy places the organism in Eukaryota, Metazoa, Chordata, Lepidosauria, Squamata, Varanidae. The transcript is spliced from 4 exons.
AAGAAGGUCAUUUGACUUGAGAAUGAUUUUCGUUUGUUUGUUAUAUUGUUGUCUCUCUCCCCAAUUAUCAUCUUUGCAAAGAAGGUCAUGUCAAUGAAAAGCGAGACAGAGGGUCUGCCAGCAGGAUCCAAAAUAAGAAGCAGAGCUCAUAGGUGCAAGGGAGGGAAACUGGAAGUUGAUGCCAAAUAUUCCUGGAGAACAAAAUCAUCUCUCUUCUUUGCUAGACUAGUCAGGAGCACAGUUCCAGCUCCUGAAGGGCUUCCAGAGGAAUAUUCUGCCAUUCUGGAGGCUGACAGGAAAUCGAUGGAAUUCACUUUAAAAAGGCAGUUCCUGCCAGAUGGGUUUCUCCAGAUGUGCCAAGAAGGGAUGGCAGAGACCUAGGAAUCACUGAAAUGGUACGAUUGGAUUGGACUGAACCAUUCUCAACUGUAGGAAUCAAGGUGGAUAUCCCUCCUCUCCAUUUUCUCCUCACAACAAGCCUGUGAGGUUUUGAAACUGAAGUUUUGAAUUCAAGGUUCAGAUUAGCAUUCUGAAUGCAAGCUUUGAUUCAAAAUUCACCUGCUAGCAACCUGUUGACAACAGGUCUGGAGAACAUCAAAGUGAAUCUGAAAUGAAGAAAGUUCUUGCAAGGGCUUAUGAACGUCACUGCAUCUGGAGGAACAUUUCAGUUCUGAGCAGCCCCAACUUGGUCUCCUAAGGAAAACCAUCACCACUUUCCCUCAGUCAUUAUUUGCCUCUGACAUUGCUAUUUAUUGCCAACAGCAGCUUCAGGUGAUCGGCAAUGCCUGUUUUCCUUCUAAAGAAAAGUUGGCAAUUUAUAGUGUUCUUUUUUUAAAAGCAAGAACUAUACCAGACAUACAAUGGACACCAGAAGUGUUUGUGCUCUGUCCUUUGACAAUGCUUUUCUCUAUGAAGGAGGGGAGAGAUUUAUUUUGGCUUCAUUCUCAUCUGCCUGAUCUGCAAUCCAUUCAUGCAAUCUGGCAUGAUAAUAGAUGCUGGGAGCCCCAGAGAUCAGACAGUAAUUUCUUGCUACCAGCGCUGUUCAAUUAAAUGACUGUAGUGCUCGAACAUCAAAGGCUACUGGUGAAAAUGGCUACAAGAACGAUGCAGGCUGAGAGACAGUGUCAUUUUCUGGGAAGCAAUGGUGGAGGGUGGCUAUUGCUUUUCUAAUCCAUCCACUACAAGCAUCUCAGGAUGCCUUACUAUCUUGCCCAUGAUCCCCAGCAAUUGGUAGCUAUGGGCAUUCUGCAGAGCUAGAUUUUCCCUGCCUAUGUCUUCUGCAUUUCCCCUCUCUAAUUUGGAACUGAUUUCAAAUACCAGGACCGCUGAAUAUGCCAACACACACACACACAUACACAGACACACACAUAGAACCACCUGGAAAUUUAAGCACAGCAGUCAUUCACACAUCUGCAUAUCUUUGAUGAGAAGGGACAAGUUUUUUAUAUCAAUGCUUCAUGCCCCUGCACGUGGAUGAUGGUCUGCAAAGACUACAGAAAGUGGAACACCAAUGAGUAUCCAGGUUCAGUGGUGAUAGCUUCUCAGCUGGGCUUGAGCGAAUGAAAGUAGAUAUGAGCAUAUCUAUAUAAUUCUGAUGCAGCAUGGAUGGGAAAGUUUUAGAAGCUGAGGAACAGUUUUGACUUCUUGACUGCACCCUGUGGACCAUCCCACCCUCCUCCAGGUGGUGCCAGAAAUACAGAGUAAGUAGUAAACAGACAUGCAAAUAAAUCAAAGUGACACCUGGAGUAGCUACUUUACUUCGUAAAGUAUAUAAUUCAGCCUGUUUACAAUACAAGGGUUUGAAAUGCUUCUGAAUGGCUGUACCAGAUGCUAUUAUUUUCCUCUAUUUUUUUACAUGGUUGUAAAAAAUUGGGUUGUGGGGAGGUUCUGUUGUGGGGAGGAACAAAGGGUACUGGGAGUUUAUUAGCUGGCUGUUGCUGAUCCCUGAUGUAUGGGUCAAGCUCUUAGUUUUUAAUGGAUAUCUAACUGAUGUUUGCAAUUUUCAAUUUGAAAUCUUUCUACCUAAGCCUAAUCUCUGAUCUGAUCAGAGAAGCAAUUACUGGUUUUUGCUGCUAUUCAAAUAAGAUGUUUAAGUAAAUAUAUUUCAUAUUUUUACUGUUCCAUGCUUGUGUCCUUAUAAUUAGAUAUGUUGAUUUCUGAAUUGAUUGCCAAGAAAGAUGCUUAAUGUUUUCAAGUGUUGUUGAAGAAGAAUAUGGAGUCAAAUUGUGUGCCUCACCCAUUUAUGUUCAUUUGCCUUGGACUGGAUGUAGCUUUGCUUAAAAUUAGUAGUUUUCUUCUAGUUUCCUCACUAUAUAUAGUUGUACUUGUGGAGUUUAAAGAUUCUUUUGAUGUUACUUUUCUGCACCGUUUAUUAAAUUUUUAUGUAUCCUACUGGGUUCCGCUUUGAGAAUACUCUGAACUAACCAAUGGACAAACAAGUGUGUCCCAGAUCAAAUCAAACCAGAGCUUUCCCUAGGAGAAACAAUGGCAUUUGGGCACCCCAUGAGAAGGCAAAGCUCCCUGGAGAAGAUCAUCAAGCUUAGAAAACUUGAAGGUGGAAGAAGACAAGGAAAACCAACUAUGAGAUGCAUUGGUUUCAUCAGGGAAACUGCAGACUUGAAUUGACAAGAGUUGAGCAGGGCUGUCAUGGAUUGGUUGUUGAUUGCACCAAGUCAGAGACAACUUGAUGGCACAAGAAUAAAAACUGGGUUCUACCCUACCACCUAAAAAUAAAUAAAUAAAUAAAUAAAUAAAUAAAUAAAUAAAUAAAUAAAUGUGCUCUCUCUCUCUCUCUCUCUCUCUCUCUCUCUCUCUCUGUGUGUGUGUGUGUGUGAGUGAUUGAGA